GAGUAAGAAUUUGAUGGGUCAAGGUCUUACUAUUGGGAUUGAUGAUAAUACAAAUCAGUGUCUCUGUAAGGUUGAUAUUAAGCCCUGGCUGUUUUCGAAGAAGAAAGGGUCAAAGACUUUAGAAGCAUAUUCUAGGAAAAUUGAUAUAUGUUGGGACCUUUCGUCAGCAAAGUUUGGAUCUGGUCCUGAGCCAUUGGAAGGAUUCUAUGUGUGUGUUGUUUCCGAAAGGCAAAUGAUUUUGCUCCUUGGUGAUAUGAAAAAAGAAGCUAUUAAGAAAACAAGUGCCACACCUGCUGCUUCUGGUGCUGUUUUUAUUGCUAAGAAGGAGCAUAUGUUUGGUAAGAAGGUAUUUAGC
This 355-nucleotide unclassified non-coding RNA is filed under the name Hevea brasiliensis (rubber tree). Lineage: Eukaryota; Viridiplantae; Streptophyta; Magnoliopsida; Malpighiales; Euphorbiaceae. The record is from RNAcentral.